GAUGAGAACGCAGCGAAAUGCGAUACUUGGUGUGAAUUGCAGAAUCCCGUGAACCAUCGAGUCUUUGAACGCAAGUUGCGCCCGAAGCCAUUAGGCCGAGGGCACGCCUGCCUGGGCGUCACACGUCGUUGCCCCCCCAUCUACUCCUUCGGGAUUGCGGGGGGCGGAUGAUGGCCUCCCGUGCGCCUCGCCGCGCGGUUGGCAUAAAUGCCAAGUCCUCGGCGACGCACGCCACGACAAUCGGUGGUUGCGAAACCUCGGUUGCCCGUCGUGUGCGGUCGUCGCGCAUCGAGGGCUCGAAAAAAUUGCCGGGUUCCGGCUCGGCUUUCAACGCGACCCCAGGUCAGGCGGGGUUACCCGCUGAAUUUAAGCAUAUCAAUAAGCGGAGGA
RNAcentral lists this unclassified non-coding RNA (390 nucleotides) under soil metagenome. RNAcentral's name for it is "partial contains 5.8S ribosomal RNA, internal transcribed spacer 2, and large subunit ribosomal RNA". The stretch from base 5 to 121 matches the Rfam family "5.8S ribosomal RNA", at positions 40 to 154 of the family's 154-position model. The record is from RNAcentral.